Mauremys reevesii (Reeves's turtle) is the source of this 367-nucleotide long non-coding RNA. RefSeq lists it as uncharacterized. The transcript has 3 exons. The record is from RefSeq and is a predicted model, not a curated record. NCBI's taxonomy places the organism in Eukaryota, Metazoa, Chordata, Testudines, Geoemydidae.
GAAAGAUCUCCAAGCACUAGAUCCACUCAAAUCAAACGAACGGCUUAGCCCCGCUGCAGACGUGGUACAUCCAUGUUAUAGAUGGUGAAGUUCAGGCACAGAGAAGCCCCAUCUCCAGGUUCCUGGUUGGAAUCUGCUCCCCACUCAGCCGGCUGCUGAUGGACUAUUCCUGGUGACUUUGCUGGCUUCACUUCUCAUUUCCAGCCACCAAAAAAUGCCAUUUGUUUGAGCCGCUUCGGAUGUUUGGUAAUUGAAGAGAACUGCAGUGGACUGGUUACCUGCCAAGAGGGAUUGCAAAGUAGAAGACAGACAGCAUGAGGGUUCUGGUGUUUUUGGUGAAAAGGUCUCCUAUGAUGGUGGGAGCGAU